Molecule: long non-coding RNA, 426 nt
Filed under: Calidris pygmaea (Spoon-billed sandpiper)
Lineage: Eukaryota; Metazoa; Chordata; Aves; Charadriiformes; Scolopacidae
Description: lncRNA (ENSCPGG00000014739.1)
Source: RNAcentral
UUUAAAUAGCCCUGAAUUUUCUGAGGUUGCCUUUUCUCCUCCUGUGCUUUGAUGCUUGCGUGUGUCUCUCCGGCAGCUUGUGGCCCAGCCACUGUCACUUCCAUAUGGCUUGCUAUACUGUGCUGCUUUUCUGCGUUUGAGAAACCAAGGAACCCGAGAGCAAACCCUUAUCUACUGGGGGGAGGCAGACAUGAAGGUGUCCAGCGAGCAGCGAGCGUGGGGAUGGCUGCAGCACGUCCUUUGCACCUGCAUCGACCUGCCCCUGGCAUUCACACCAGAUCCUUCCAUCGUCGACCAUGCUCUUUGCUGUCUCCAGAUGGACACACCUUCCUUAACUUGUGGUUCAUCCCUCACCCUACUGAAGGGCCGAUCAUGUUCAAAAUGCUUCCAGAGAAGGGGAAAGAGGAAAAAUGGAGAAAGUCAUGA